UCUUCUCACUGAGCCAGCCAACCAGCCCUGAACUAUAGGUUGAGCAAUCAUCUACCCAGGUCAAGUCCUUCAGCUGGUCACCGGGCAGGCUCAGGUGGACUCAGGAAGGUAUCUGAAGAGUGGGCAGCAAGGAGUGGAGACAUGCUUUCCCACUUAACAUGCUCAUCGUGGUCUCCACAAAGGGCACUCCCUGGAGUUGGCAGUGCCCGCUUCAACCUGACCUGUUGGGAAUGGCACCAGCCACUCUGGACCAGAGGCCAUCUGGAGGCACCGAGCUUGCCCCUUCCACUUCUGCGCCAGUCACAUUCACUGCGUGGGUCUCCUUGGAUCCUGACAUUGAAACUGAUUUUUUUGUCUUUUACUCUAAGUCUAGAGCUCAGAUUUCUUACAGAGGAAGAAGAGUCACACAGGAUCCUAGAGAGGAUCCCCUCCCCACAGCCCCAGCCUGUGCUUAAUUAAGUGAGUGGCUUAAGGGACUUGCCUCCUCUUCAAGAUUAAGAGAAUUUCCCCAGUUCCAUCUCUUGGAAAGCUCACGUUCACGCAAGAUUCUCAUCAAAUGCCAGCUGCUCCCAUAAAACCAGGCUGCAGUAUCCAACCAGCUCUCCUGGAGUCAGUCUGCGAACAAAGAAUCUGGAGAGGGUCACGUCUGGCCCAAACCGCACAACACUCUGUGCCUGUCUGAUUUAUCUCAUCUGUGGGUAUUUGCACCCAGCCUCUUUUCACCCAUUGUG
Molecule: long non-coding RNA, 731 nt
Organism: Suricata suricatta (meerkat)
Lineage: Eukaryota; Metazoa; Chordata; Mammalia; Carnivora; Herpestidae
Exons: 4
Source: RefSeq, a predicted model, not a curated record